Molecule: long non-coding RNA, 687 nt
Organism: Leucoraja erinaceus (little skate)
Lineage: Eukaryota; Metazoa; Chordata; Chondrichthyes; Rajiformes; Rajidae
Exons: 3
Source: RefSeq, a predicted model, not a curated record
GGCCCAGCCUGGCGAUGACGUCACGCAGCAACCGCACGGUCGCCAGAAGAGCGAGAUGCACGCUCUGUUUGCAGUCCUCAAUCGGAUAACCCUAGUGUAAACGUGUUGCAAGACAAGGAUAUACAGUAUUGGCACAAAUAGAACAAGCAACUCAAAUAUACAAUGAAAAAUAGCACGAACAUUUUUUCCAAAGAUUGACACAAAAAGCUGGAGUAACUCAACGGGUUAGUCUGCAUCUCUGGAGAAAAGGAAUAGAUGUCGUUUCGGAUCGAGACCCUUCCAAAAUCCCUAGGACUAUCAAUUAACUAGACAUAGGAAGUCAUUACACAAGAUAAGAUUAAGCUUAUGGGUUGCUACUCCUUACACCUUUACUAUUUCUCUACAUAGGCAUGCAGAAAUUCUUCUACAAGGGUUAACAGGUUAAUAUUGAGAAACCCUUUCCUCAAGCUGUAGAUUCUAAAUGAUUCUAGGUAGCAUGGUCUGUGGCUAAGGGUUUGUUUUAAUACGGAAUGUCAUCAAUCUUUUAGAUCCUCUAAUUCAUUAGUGUGAGGUUGCUUCUUGUUUAAUAUAUUUGAGGUUGAGGUGGUUAGAUUUUAGCGUAUUGCAGGAAUCAAGGGAGAUGGGGAUCAUGCAGGAACAUGGACUUGUGACUAAGGAAUAAGCAUGAAAACAGAGCAGGCCAGAUUG